GUCAGGGUAGCUCAGCUG
Molecule: transfer RNA, 18 nt
Filed under: Leichhardtia dognyensis
Lineage: Eukaryota; Viridiplantae; Streptophyta; Magnoliopsida; Gentianales; Apocynaceae
Description: partial tRNA-Phe
Source: RNAcentral